UAUGUGAUAGAAGUAAGACUGAAUGAUCUCUUUCACUGGUGAUCAUUCAAGUCAAGGUAAAAUUUGCGAGUUCAAGCGCGAAUUUUCGGCGAAUGUCGUCUUCACAGUAUAACCAGAUUGCUUGGGGUUAUAUGGUCAAGUGAAGAAGCGCAU
RNAcentral lists this unclassified non-coding RNA (153 nucleotides) under Pseudomonas aeruginosa. RNAcentral describes it as "partial 16S-23S ribosomal RNA intergenic spacer". Lineage: Bacteria; Pseudomonadati; Pseudomonadota; Gammaproteobacteria; Pseudomonadales; Pseudomonadaceae. The record is from RNAcentral.